UCAAAUUUCCCUAUGCAGCUGACUUGUAAAUGUUCUUCGAGUAUCUUCAUUCUUCCUUAAUCCUAAUGAAGUUUUAGAGGCGAAGAUACUCGAAAAACAUUUACUUGUUAUUUGUAUAGAAUUACUAUAUAUAGUCCGUCAGAACUCAAACACAAUUUCUUCCUCCAGAUCUGUGCUUACCAAAUCGAUAGUUUAGCUCAAUCGCCGUUUCUCAGUCUCUUAAAUUUCUCCUAGUUGUCAAAAGUUCGUACAGGUGACUUGUAAAUGUUUUGCUGACCUUCUAAUAUGAUAUAACUGGCAAAACAUUUACACGUACCUUGUAUGAACUUUUGAUUCUAGCUUUGCUGAAACCUUUUGAUGGAGAACUGCUCUAACUCAAGUGGCCAACCUGAAAGGCUGUGAUAUUCACAGGUCGGCGAGUUUAAAAAACACAUUAAUUGGUAUAAUGUUUCCAUUUUUGCUUAGAACACUUCGAAAUGAAUUAAUUAAACAAAAUCAGCACUAACUCAACUGAGUUUUUGGAUCUAACAUGAGGGAAAAAUUUAAUAAUUAAUUGUUAUUUUGAUGUUAAACAGAGACGCUCUAUGCUUUAAUAGGAGUUAGCAAAUCUCUUGGGAUUCAUAAUGGAAGAAAAAGAUCUAUUAGUUGAGAAUAUGUUUUAGUCAAGUGAGCACUUUUAUUUUACAUCCUAUACUAUUCUUGUAGUUGUUUAGCGUUUUAGAGAUUUAUACAUCAAUAGAAAAUAUAAAGAAUCUUUAAUACUUAUUAUUAUUGUUUUUGUUUUGUAUACGGCGAUCUAUCGAGACCCCUCCCCAAUAUUACUAUACACUUUUCUUAGAUCUCAAUAGCAAUCCCAAGAACCCAAAUCCCUGUUCUCAGAUCUAACCAAUUUUACAUCAAAAGCUGCUGCUUAAAUGCAGUCACUUUAGGAAAUUUUCUCUGUUUUCUUGAUCUGCGGUGGCUUGUUUUCUUGAUUACUUAUAAUCAAGGUAGAAUUUUUACACCAAUUUUGGUAAGUUCUUGGAUUUACUGCAAUUGGGUAGUGUUCAGUUUUUUCAGAUAAGUUGAUUGAUUCUUGGAAUAUCAAUGUUUUACUACUGCAAAUUAUGUUUAUUCAAUCUCAAUUGGUUCGUGUAGAAUACUAUGAAAUCUGCGUUUGAUUGUUAAUAUGAAUGGCCUGAUUUAUUUGCUUGACCAAAAUUUGAUAUCGUGGAGCUGUUCUUGGGUGGAAAUGGAUCUGCUAGCUUACUAUUUUGUUUAAAGAUAAAUAAUCUUUUAAGGGAAGUUUGGAUCCAUUGCCUGAUAAGACAUUAAUAUCUUGGAACUUAUAUAUCCAAUUUAUUUAACUUAAAUAUUUCUUAAGGUGAAGCAUACAAGUUAUAUCUACACUACAUUUUUGGCAUUUCAUGUUGUCAAUGAGAAAUGUCCUGCAAUUUUGAAAGCAUGUAGGGGUUAGUGCUACGAAUGUUUUCUUAAGGAGCUAAAGUUUUAGUAGAUGGUCAGGAUUGAAAGCUUACUGCAUCAGAGAGUACACUGAAACAGUAUUUAUUUCGCCUUGAUCUGCAGUUUCAUAGUUUGUGCAAUUAAGCAGAAACCAUUAGGAUUUAACAGUUUGCAGCAGUUUGAAUUUGUUGGACCUGUGAAAAAGAACAAAAAUCUAGACAAGCAAAUAUUGUAUUCUUAUGAAAACAAAUCUUAUGAAAUUAAUCAUGGAGAAAGUAAAAUAACAAAGAAGUUCACUAAUUUGAAAAACUUCGAUACAAGUGUAGUACUGUAACCUUGAAGUUUUCUAUGUUUUAUGUGAUUGACUUUAAUCUUCACGGAAAUGGCAUGUUUGUGCGUUUGGAGGCUAAUUGGGUGCUAUAGAGGCAAAUUUAUGCUAGAAAUGGCAUGCUUGUGUACUCGUUAAUUUUGAUAUGUUUCUCUUCAUUACUUGCAAAAUAAUCAGGUUUAGACAUCUCUUCUGAUUGUUAUUGCCAUUUAAUGACCAAUUUUAUCCACCUAUUCAGAAAAGAAGAAAGAAGAAAACUACCAUUUGAUCACGCUUGGCACAUUCAAUAGACUACACCUGAACUCCAGAAAAACAAGGACAGAGGCAGACCAAUCAGGGUGAUAAUUAUUGUAACACACAGGUUGUACUGGAUAGAGUGGGUGUCAUUGUAUUCAUGAAUCUCUGUACUGUCUUUAAUGUUGGAGUUCCACCAUUCAUUGUGGCAGUCCAAUGCAAAAAUUGAUCACUAAAAAGCUGCUUGUUUUCUGUCUGUAUGUCAUAGUGGUCCUAAUCAAAAUCUUUCAGGCAUAUGAUGGAGAUCAGAAUCUAAUGGUUGAUUUGUGGAUAGAUUCCUUGAUUAUUUCUCCAUGAUAAUGUUCUUUUACCAUAAAUAUCUCUUUACAUUAAAGUUUAUUUUUGGUAUUGGAUAAACCAUCCGACAUUUGUCAGCAAUAAUACAGUGUAGCAGGGCCUUAGAGUAUAUAUUAGUGAAGUAGGACUCUUUUCUGAUUGGUCAAGGCUCUUGAGUUUUCCUAUGUGUCUUCAGAAAUAUUUAUCUGAUUCAAAGACCUGCAGCUCCUGUGCAUGCCUAUUUCAUUUAUCUGAUUAGCUUAUUAAACAUGGUCUAAAUUUGUAAUUAUACUAGUUUGUUAUUCCUGAUUUUAUGGAAGUUCACAUUUUGACCACAUUCCUCCCCCUCCUCACGCCAAUAGAAGAAAAUAUCCAUCUCUGGAAAAUGUUCAACAACUUUUUGUUGCAUUUGUAGGAGUGAAGUUUUUGUGGUAAUCUCGUUGUUUGUGCCUCUCUAAUGUAAAUAUCUGCAGUGUUAUCGGUAUCCAUUUUAGGAUAAUCAAAAGUUUGUAAGGUGGCGUUUCUUUGAGGUUUUCCGAAACUUGAGUUUGCAGACUCAGCUUUAAACCUUGAGAAAAGUGUUUGUUUGGGUGUGUUUGCAAAAACUGAGAGAUUUGGAAAACUCAGUUUGGAAAUCUUCACAUAAAGUUAUAUUUGUUCUGGAAACAAGUCAAAGGAACACUUUUUCCAAAACUCAAAACCUGGGUUUGCAAACUCAGUUUUUGGAGAACUCCAAACACUAUGUUUUUCAUAUUGGUUGUACAGCUGGUUCACUUUACUACAAAGAGAUUUUAAUUCGACUGUUUAAUUAGCUAAAUCUCUUAUCUUUGCCAUGAUUCUUAGUGUUUUUUUUUGUUUCUGAUAUAAUUUGUUUAUGAUGUGGAGAUUCAAGCCUUUUUUGCCCAAGGAACAGGCUGGGCUUGAAGGUCGCACCAUUGAUAUUGGCAGUCUCAAAGUUCAUGUGCGCAAUGCAAUUGGAGUAGGCGGAUUCUCUUGUGUUUAUUGCCCGAGAUGUACUACAUGGUUCAAAGCAGUAUGCAUUAAAGCAUAUUAUUGUUAAUGAUGAAGAAUCACUUGAUCUAGUACUGAAAGAAAUUUCAGUGAUGAAAUCGCUCAAGGGUCAUGCUAAUAUUGUCACACUAAAUGCGCAUACCUUCUUGGAUAUGGUUCGUACAAAGGAAGCUCUCCUUGUUAUGGAAUAUUGUGAGAAAUCCUUGGUCAGUGUCCUUGAGAACCGAGGAGCUGGCUUCUUUGAGGAGAAACAAGUCCUCUUAAUAUUCAGGGAUGUAUGCAAUGCUGUCUUUGCUAUGCACUGGCAGUCCCCAACCAUAGCUCAAAGGAUCGAAUCAGAGAGCAUUAUUAGUGGAUUGUCGGCAAAAUUUCUUCAUUGAGCAAACUUCUUUUGUCGUCCUCCCAAGAUGUUGUGGGUAUAGAUGCUCAUCUAGAGCAAGUGAAACCUGCUAUGGAUGAAAACUGAUGACAUUCAAAAUAAUUAUUGGUAUCUGGGGCAUGGGAGGAAUAGGGAAUACGGCAGUUGCACGAGCCAGUUUGAAGCUUCUUGUUUCCGUGGAGAUGUUAAAGAAUACAGGCGUAGCGUGUGCGCUCAUUGCAAAAUGCCCUUCUUGGUAAACUGUUAAGGGAGAAAGAUGAAUGUCGGUAAGGAAGUGCAUGAUAGUGAGUAGACUUCCUUUUAAGAAGGUUCCUAUUUGUGUCUGAUGACAUAGAUCACACACACCAAUUGGAUUACUUAGCAGGGGAUCUUGGUUGGUUUGGUAACCAGUAGAAUGCAUGAUUUGAUACAUGAUAUGGGUAAAUAUGUGGUGAAUAUGCAAAAGAUCCUGAAUGUAGCAGUAUGGCGCAUUGAAGAUACUCAUUGAGUUCUAUCAUUGAAUUAGAACGAAAGUACAUGACAAAUUUAUUGGUCAUGUCUUAAUUAGGAAUUCCUUCGAUCAACAACAACGACAAUAACAAACCCCGUGUAUUCACACAUGUGGAGUAUGGGGAGGGUAGUGUGUAUACAAACCUUACCCCUACCUAGCGAAGCUAAAGAGACGAAUUCCUUCUAUCACUUGAUAAAAAAAAAACUUAAAAGACUCUGAAUCUGAAGAACCUCUGAGAAAAUGUUCUUUAGAAAAUAGAAUUGUGUAAUUAAUUGCUUAGCGAAAUAGUUCAUCUGUUGAGCAACAUUUUUCUUAAAAAAGGACCUAACCAAUACGGUACCUUAAAUUUUCCAAUGGCGCUCCUCGAGAAACUGCUCGUGCAAUAGUAAAGUUUAACCUUGAUAUUAUAGAGUAGAAAUAUAACUAAAAGAAAGUAAAAAGGAAUUGGGCAUCGCGAGGAGUGAAAGUACUUAUAUUUGCAGAGGGAUCCUUGUACUGCGUUUGAAAUUAUACUUUGUUAUCUUUUAAGCAGGGGGCCAAAGCAAUGGAGGCAAUCUGGAUUCGUCGUCCCCCAAAAACUAUUCUUUAGCAGAGGGCCAUGAAAAUUCUAUGAACUCAUCAUGGAUCAAACAGAUGUUGCACAUAGAUAAUGUGAUGAUCCUUUUUGAUUCGCGAUGACUGACAGAUAAUGUGAUGGAUGUUGUGAGUUGCCUUGAUGGCUCUGUUGAUUAUUUGUCCAACAACUUGUGUUGGUUUGUCUGGGAUCGCUAUCCUUCAGAAUCACUUCCAUCGAAUUUUGAACGCAAUAGACUUGUUCAUCUUCGACUCACACGGAUAUCACUAUGUCAAUUAUGGAGAGGAACAAAGGAGAUUGCUUUGUUAAGUUAGUUUCAGCACGAAAACACAGUACGGUAUUAUGUCACACUAGUUCUGAAUAUGAGAAUGGCUACCACGACACACCACGGGUAUAUAUUCUUAAACCUUCUUGGUUUGCAGUGUGUUAUGUCUUACAGCUUGAAGCACGUUUCUAUUAGCUGGAGCUAUUGGGGAGUGCAGAAAAAUCCAGUAAUCGAAGAUCGAUUCAAUAGCAGCUCCUGCACCUACUGAUUUUUGAACCUUCUAACAUCUCGAGCUUGAUAUUGUACUUUAAUCUCAAUUAGAUGGCUAUAACAGUCUGUCCCAAGCUGUAGUUUUUGCACUCUAUGGAUAGGAAUCAAAGAUAAUUUGUGGGGGCUGUAACACCUGUACCGCAAGUUGUCUCAUGAAUAUGUUUUUGGUGUAAUUACUGUGAUGUAUUCAUGUAAAUGAUGUUUAUUACUUUCUGGACUUUCUGUCCCAAGCUGCAUUUUUUGGACCUUAUGGAGAGGAAUCAAAGAUCCUUUAAGGGGUCUACGUCACCUUUUUCGGACCUUA
This is a non-coding RNA of Nicotiana tabacum (common tobacco), 5634 nucleotides long. The record is from RefSeq and is a predicted model, not a curated record. Lineage: Eukaryota; Viridiplantae; Streptophyta; Magnoliopsida; Solanales; Solanaceae.